UCCGAUAUGGUGUAGGCGGUUAGCAUAUGAGCCUCUCACGCUCGAGACUCGGGUUCGAGUCCCGGUAUCGGAA
This is a transfer RNA of 73 nucleotides. It matches the Rfam family "tRNA". Rfam says of the family: Transfer RNA (tRNA) molecules are approximately 80 nucleotides in length. Their secondary structure includes four short double-helical elements and three loops (D, anti-codon, and T loops). Further hydrogen bonds mediate the characteristic L-shaped molecular structure. tRNAs have two regions of fundamental functional importance: the anti-codon, which is responsible for specific mRNA codon recognition, and the 3' end, to which the tRNAs corresponding amino acid is attached (by aminoacyl-tRNA synthetases). tRNAs cope with the degeneracy of the genetic code in two manners: having more than one tRNA (with a specific anti-codon) for a particular amino acid; and 'wobble' base-pairing, i.e. permitting non-standard base-pairing at the 3rd anti-codon position. The record is from Rfam.